This 452-nucleotide ribosomal RNA is filed under the name uncultured Pelotomaculum sp. RNAcentral's name for it is "bacterial SSU rRNA". It matches the Rfam family "Bacterial small subunit ribosomal RNA", at positions 933 to 1382 of the family's 1533-position model. The record is from RNAcentral. Lineage: Bacteria; Bacillati; Bacillota; Clostridia; Eubacteriales; Desulfotomaculaceae.
UGGAGCAUGUGGUUUAAUUCGACGCAACGCGAAGAACCUUACCAGGGCUUGACAUCCCCUGACCGCGUAUGAAAGUACGUUUUCACCCUCGGGUGACAGGGAGACAGGUGGUGCAUGGUUGUCGUCAGCUCGUGUCGUGAGAUGUUGGGUUAAGUCCCGCAACGAGCGCAACCCCUACGUUUAGUUGCUAACGCGUGAAGGCGAGCACUCUAGACGAACUGCCGUUGACAAAACGGAGGAAGGUGGGGAUGACGUCAAAUCAUCAUGCCCCUUAUGUUCUGGGCUACACACGUGCUACAAUGGCCGGUACAGACGGACGCAAAGCCGCGAGGUGGAGCAAAUCCUAAAAAGCCGGUCUCAGUUCGGAUUGCAGGCUGCAAUUCGCCUGCAUGAAGUCGGAAUCGCUAGUAAUCGCAGGUCAGCAUACUGCGGUGAAUACGUUCCCGGGCCUU